RNAcentral lists this ribosomal RNA (478 nucleotides) under uncultured bacterium. Its description in RNAcentral is "partial 16S ribosomal RNA". It matches the Rfam family "Bacterial small subunit ribosomal RNA", at positions 28 to 523 of the family's 1533-position model. The record is from RNAcentral.
GACGAACGCUGGCGGCGUGCUUAACACAUGCAAGUCGAACGGUAAGGCCCUUCGGGGUACACGAGUGGCGGACGGGUGAGUAACACGUGGGUGAUCUGCCCUGCACUUCGGGAUAAGCCUGGGAAACUGGGUCUAAUACCGGAUAGGACCACUGCCUGCAUGGGUGGUGGUGGAAAGCUUUUGCGGUGUGGGAUGGGCCCGCGGCCUAUCAGCUUGUUGGUGGGGUGAUGGCCUACCAAGGCGACGACGGGUAGCCGGCCUGAGAGGGUGACCGGCCACACUGGGACUGAGAUACGGCCCAGACUCCUACGGGAGGCAGCAGUGGGGAAUAUUGCACAAUGGGCGCAAGCCUGAUGCAGCGACGCCGCGUGAGGGGUGACGGCCUUCGGGUUGUAAACCUCUUUCAGCACCGACGAAGCGCAAGUGACGGUAGGUGCAGAAGAAGGACCGGCCAACUACGUGCCAGCAGCCGCGGUAA